Molecule: ribosomal RNA, 1123 nt
Filed under: uncultured bacterium
Lineage: Bacteria
Description: bacterial SSU rRNA
Rfam family: Bacterial small subunit ribosomal RNA
Source: RNAcentral
AUUGAUUUUAUGCUUGCAUAAAUGAUUUUUGGAUUCGGAGCGAGUGGCGAACUGGUGAGUAACACGUGGGUAACCUGCCCCGAAGCGGGGGAUAACAUUUGGAAACAAGUGCUAAUACCGCAUAAUUAGUUGGAACCGCAUGGUUCCAACUUGAAAGAUGGCUCUGCUAUCACUUUGGGAUGGACCCGCGCCGUAUUAGUUAGUUGGUGAGAUAAAAGCCCACCAAGACGAUGAUACGUAGCCGACCUGAGAGGGUAAUCGGCCACAUUGGGACUGAGACACGGCCCAGACUCCUACGGGAGGCAGCAGUAGGGAAUCUUCCACAAUGGACGAAAGUCUGAUGGAGCAACGCCGCGUGAGUGAUGAAGGUUUUCGGAUCGUAAAACUCUGUUGUUAAAGAAGAACAAGUGUUAGAGUAACUGUUAACACUUUGACGGUAUUUAACCAGAAAGCCACGGCUAACUACGUGCCAGCAGCCGCGGUAAUACGUAGGUGGCAAGCGUUGUCCGGAUUUAUUGGGCGUAAAGCGAGCGCAGGCGGUUUUGUAAGUCUGCUGUGAAAGCCCUCAGCUCAACUGAGGAAGUGCAGUGGAAACUACAAAACUUGAGUACAGAAGAGGAAAGUGGAACUCCAUGUGUAGCGGUGAAAUGCGUAGAUAUAUGGAAGAACACCAGUGGCGAAGGCGGCUUUCUGGUCUGUUACUGACGCUGAGGCUCGAAAGCAUGGGUAGCGAACAGGAUUAGAUACCCUGGUAGUCCAUGCCGUAAACGAUGAAUACUAGGUGUUGGAGGGUUUCCGCCCUUCAGUGCCGCAGCUAACGCAUUAAGUAUUCCGCCUGGGGAGUACGACCGCAAGGUUGAAACUCAAAGGAAUUGACGGGGGCCCGCACAAGUGGUGGAGCAUGUGGUUUAAUUCGAUGCUACGCGAAGAACCUUACCAGCUCUUGACAUCUUCCGUCAACCCAAGAGAUUGGGCGUUCCCUUCGGGGACAGAAUGACAGGUGGUGCAUGGUUGUCGUCAGCUCGUGUCGUGAGAUGUUGGGUUAAGUUCUGCAACGAGCGCAACCCUUAUUAUUAGUUGCCAGCAUUUAGUUGGGCACUCUAGUGAGACUGCCGGUGAUAAA